Molecule: ribosomal RNA, 497 nt
Filed under: uncultured bacterium
Lineage: Bacteria
Description: partial 16S ribosomal RNA
Rfam family: Bacterial small subunit ribosomal RNA
Source: RNAcentral
GAUGAACGCUGGCGGCGUGCCUAAUACAUGCAAGUCGAGCGAACAGACGAGGAGCUUGCUCCUCUGACGUUAGCGGCGGACGGGUGAGUAACACGUGGAUAACCUACCUAUAAGACUGGGAUAACUUCGGGAAACCGGAGCUAAUACCGGAUAAUAUAUUGAACCGCAUGGUUCAAUAGUGAAAGACGGUUUUGCUGUCACUUAUAGAUGGCUCCGCGCCGCAUUAGCUAGUUGGUAAGGUAACGGCUUACCAAGGCAACGAUGCGUAGCCGACCUGCGAGGGUGACCGGCCACACUGGAACUGAGACACGGUCCAGACUCCUACGGGAGGCAGCAGUAGGGAAUCUUCCGCAAUGGGCGAAAGCCUGACGGAGCAACGCCGCGUGAGUGAUGAAGGUCUUCGGAUCGUAAAACUCUGUUAUUAGGGAAGAACAAAUGUGUAAGUAACUAUGCACGUCUUGACGGUACCUAAUCAGAAAGCCACGGCUAACUACGUG